GAUGAAGAACGUAGCGAAAUGCGAUACGUAAUGUGAAUUGCAGAAUUCAGUGAAUCAUCGAGUCUUUGAACGCACAUUGCGCCCCCUGGUAUUCCGGGGGGCAUGCCUGUCCGCGCGUCAUUGCUGCCCUCAAGCACGGCUUGUGUGUUGGGCCUCCGUCCUCCUCCCGGGGGACGGGCCCGAAAGGCAGCGGCGGCACCGCGUCCGGUCCUCGAGCGUAUGGGGCUUCGUCACCCGCUCUUGUAGGCCCGGUCGGCGCUUGCCGACACAUCAAUCUUUUUUCCAGGUUGACCUCGGAUCAGGUAGGGAUACCCGCUGAACUUAAGCAUAUCAAUAAGCGGAGGA
This 345-nucleotide unclassified non-coding RNA is filed under the name soil metagenome. RNAcentral's name for it is "partial contains 5.8S ribosomal RNA, internal transcribed spacer 2, and large subunit ribosomal RNA". The stretch from base 1 to 120 matches the Rfam family "5.8S ribosomal RNA", at positions 35 to 154 of the family's 154-position model. The record is from RNAcentral.